GAUGAACGCUGGCGGCGUGCCUAAUACAUGCAAGUCGAGCGAACGGACGAGAAGUUUGCUUCUCUGAUGUUAGCGGCGGACGGGUGAGUAACACGUGGAUAACCUACCUAUAAGACUGGGAUCACUUCGGGAAACCGGAGCUAAUACCGGAUAAUAUUUUGAACCGCAUGGUUCAAAAGUGAAAAACGGUCUUGCUGUAACUUAUAGAUGGAUCCGCGCUGCAUUAGCUAGUUGGUAAGGUAACGGCUUACCAAGGCAACGAUGCAUAGCCGACCUGAGAGGGUGAUCGGCCACACUGGAACUGAGACACGGUCCAGACUCCUACGGGAGGCAGCAGUAGGGAAUCUUCCGCAAUGGGCGAAAGCCUGACGGAGCAACGCCGCGUGAGUGAUGAAGGUCUUCGGAUCGUAAAACUCUGUUAUUAGUUAAGAACAUAUGUGUAAGUAACUGUGCACAUCGUGACGGUACCUAAACAGAAAGCCACGGCUAACUACGUG
RNAcentral lists this ribosomal RNA (497 nucleotides) under uncultured bacterium. Its description in RNAcentral is "partial 16S ribosomal RNA". It matches the Rfam family "Bacterial small subunit ribosomal RNA", at positions 28 to 507 of the family's 1533-position model. The record is from RNAcentral.